GAUGAACGCUGGCGGCGUGCCUAAUACAUGCAAGUCGAGCGAACAGACGAGGAGCUUGCUCCUCUGACGUUAGCGGCGGACGGGUGAGUAACACGUGGAUAACCUACCUAUAAGACUGGGAUAACUUCGGGAAACCGGAGCUAAUACCGGAUAAUAUAUUGAACCGCAUGGUUCAAUAGUGAAAGACGGUUUUGCUGUCACUUAUAGAUGGAUCCGCGCCGCAUUAGCUAGUUGGUAAGGUAACGGCUUACCAAGGCAACGAUGCGUAGCCGACCUGAGAGGGUGAUCGGCCACACUGGACCUGAGACACGGUCCAGACUCCUACGGGAGGCAGCAGUAGGGAAUCUUCCGCAAUGGGCGAAAGCCUGACGGAGCAACGCCGCGUGAGUUAUGAAGGUCUUCGGAUCGUAAAACUCUGUUAUUAGGUAAGAACAAAUGUGUAAGUAACUAUGCACGUCUUGACGGUACCUAAUCAGAAAGCCACGGCUAACUACGUG
Molecule: ribosomal RNA, 497 nt
Filed under: uncultured bacterium
Lineage: Bacteria
Description: partial 16S ribosomal RNA
Rfam family: Bacterial small subunit ribosomal RNA
Source: RNAcentral